UCCCAGGUGGCUCAGUAGUAAAGAAUCUGCCUGCCAAGCAGGAGAUGAGGGUUUGAUCCCUUGAUUGGGAA
RNAcentral lists this transfer RNA (71 nucleotides) under Bos taurus (domestic cattle). It matches the Rfam family "tRNA". Rfam says of the family: Transfer RNA (tRNA) molecules are approximately 80 nucleotides in length. The record is from Rfam by way of RNAcentral. RNAcentral also lists the same sequence under 5 other names. Lineage: Eukaryota; Metazoa; Chordata; Mammalia; Artiodactyla; Bovidae.